AUGGCCCAGCACAUCCCAGCAUGGCCCAGCACAGCCCAGCAUAACCCAGUACAUCCCAGCAUGGCCCAGUACAUCCCAGCAUGGCCCAGUACAGCCCAGUAUAACCCAGCACAUCCCAGCAUGGCCCAGGACGUCCCAGCAUGGCCCAGCACAGCCCAGCAUAACCCAGUACAUCCCAGCAUGGCCCAGUACAUCCCAGCACAGCCCAAGAGCCCAGUGUGGCCCAGCACAGCCCAGUAUGGCCCAGUACAGGCCAAUGCAGACCCAGUACAUCCCAGUACAGCCCAGUACAGCCCAGCCCAUCCCAGCUCCCCCACCCUACCCGGCCAUACCUGGGGGGGCUCAGCCCACGGACGCUCCCAUCGCUGCUCCGGGGGGGGGGGCGGGGGGGCCGGGCCUCGCCCUACCGGGUGGGCAUCGGGAGGGACACCGGGAAUGGGGGGAGGAACCUGGAAUGGGGGGGGAAACCGGGAAUUGGGGCGGGGGGGGGCAGCGGGCCCGGCGGCACCGGGGAUGGGGAGGAGCGAUGGGGAGGGAUGUCGGGAAUCACCGGGAUACCGGGAUGGGAUUGGGGGGGGGGGGGAAGAGGGGACCGGGAUGGGGCGGGGGACACCUGGAUGCGAACCGGGAUGGGAACCGGGAUGGAGGGAGCGGGAGGCGGGGAUGGAUCCGGGAUGCGGGGAUGGGAACGGGGAUGGGAACCGGGAUGCGCGGGGAUGGAUCCGGGGAUGGAUCCCGGGAUGGAUCCCGGGAGCCGCUGCCGGGCUGGCGGUGCCGGGGGUGCUGGGGGUGCCGGGGGUGCAGAGGGUCCCGGAGCAGCCCCGGAGCCGCCGCCCCGGAGAGGCCCCGGAGAGGCCGCGGCCGCCGCUCGGAGCCGCAGAACCGGCGGGGCGGGGCCGGGCGGGGCCGGGGCGGGGCCGGCGGGGCGGGGCCGCGGGACGGAGAGAUGGACACGGGGACACGGACGGAGGAAUGGACACAGGGAUGGACACACGGACACAGGGAUGUACCCAGGGACACACGGACAGACCCAUGGGAGGACCCACGGACACAGAGAUGGACACAUGGACGGACCCACGGACGGACACACGGAGACACGGACGGACACAUGGAUGGACCCACAGACACACGGACAGAGACAGGGACACGCGGGCACAGGGACGGACACAUGGACAGAGCCAGGGACACACGGAUGGACACAGGGACAGACCCAUGAACGCACCCACGGACGGACCCACGGACACGCGGCCCCUUCAGACCCCACCAGUCCGUGGGACCCCUCCCCGUGCCCCCCAGUUCUCCCCCAGCCCCUUUGUCCUGUCCCCCCAGACCCUCCCUGCCACCCCCCGGGCCCUUCCCAUGGACAGACGGACACUCAGACAGGUGGACACAUGGACACACGGACAGAUGGACACACGGACACACAUACACGGACACACGGGACACACGGACACAUGGACACACGGACACACAGAUACAGGGACACACGGGACACAUGGACAGACGGACACACGGACACACAGACACACGGACAGAUGGACACACGGACACACAGAUACAGGGACACACGGGACACAUGGACAGAUGGACACACGGACACACAGACACAGGGACAGAUGGACACACGGACACACAGAUACAGGGACACACGGGACACAUGGACAGAUGGACACACGGACACACAGACACACGGACAGAUGGACACACGGACACACAGAUACAGGGACACACGGGACACAUGGACAGAUGGACACACGGACACAGACACACGGACAGAUGGACACACGGACACACAGAUACAGGGACACACGGGACACAUGGACAGACGGACACACGGACACACAGACACACGGACAGAUGGACACACGGACACACAGAUACAGGGACACACGGGACACAUGGACAGAUGGACACACGGACACACAGACACACGGACAGAUGGACACACGGACACACAGAUACAGGGACACACGGGACACAUGGACAGACGGACACACGGACACACAGACACACGGACAGAUGGACACACGGACACACAGAUACAGGGACACACGGGACACAUGGACAGAUGGACACACGGACACAGACACACGGACAGAUGGACACACGGACAGAUGGACACACGGACACACAGAUACACAGACACACGGGACACAUGGACAGAUGGACACAUGGACAGAUGGACACACGGACACACAGAUACACAGACACACGGACAGAUGCACGCACACAAGGAUGGACACAUGGACAGAAGGGACACUGGAGACGCUGGGACGCGCCGGAGGAACGCUGGGGACACUGGGAGACAAUGGAGGGACGCUGAAGACAUUGGGGGGUACCGGCGCGCACUGGGGGUAUUGUGACGCACUGGGACGGCACUGGGGGAACACUGGGGGACACUGGGGGGCACUGGGGGAACACUGGGUGGACACUGAGGCGCACUGA
This 2445-nucleotide long non-coding RNA is filed under the name Corvus moneduloides (New Caledonian crow). RNAcentral describes it as "lncRNA (ENSCMUG00000016824.1)". Lineage: Eukaryota; Metazoa; Chordata; Aves; Passeriformes; Corvidae. The record is from RNAcentral.